AGAGUUUGAUCAUGGCUCAGAACGAACGCUGGCGGCGUGCCUAAUACAUGCAAGUCGAACGAGAAAGUGGCUUCGGUCAUGAGUAAAGUGGCAGACGGGUGAGUAAUACAUAGGUAACCUACCUCCAAGAUGGGGAUAACCUUCCGAAAGGAGGGCUAAUACCGAAUGAGACCACAGCUGCAAAUGCAGCAGAGGUUAAA
RNAcentral lists this ribosomal RNA (200 nucleotides) under uncultured bacterium. Its description in RNAcentral is "partial 16S ribosomal RNA". It matches the Rfam family "Bacterial small subunit ribosomal RNA", at positions 8 to 205 of the family's 1533-position model. The record is from RNAcentral.